Molecule: long non-coding RNA, 1779 nt
Organism: Pseudophryne corroboree (corroboree frog)
Lineage: Eukaryota; Metazoa; Chordata; Amphibia; Anura; Myobatrachidae
Exons: 4
Source: RefSeq, a predicted model, not a curated record
AAGAAAGAAAGAAAGAAAGAAAGAAAGAAAGAAAGAAAGAAAGAAAGAAAGAAAGAAAAAGAAAGAAAGAAAGAUGAAGGAGGAAGAAAAGAAAUAGAGAGUAGAGAAGAGUAAACAUCUGUCAGGAAGGACAGUACACAGUAUUCGCUAGGGUUCACAAAUUACCAAGAAAGUCAAGAAGGAAGAGGCCAUUCGUUUCUACAGCAUCUAUGACCAUCUUAUUGUCCCACACUAUCAAUCCGAGUCAAGGAGUCAAAGGGGCCAAGGCCUUGAAGGAGGAAGACAGCUUAAACUCCAUCCAUUGAAACCAUAUAGCUACAAAUGUACCACGUUUCUCAGGAGUAGAGUAGUAUAUCUCCAAUGCCAUAUAAAAGUCCAUGCGUUGGCACCAAUCCCAUAGAGAAGGUGGAGAGGUGGCGUGCCAGCGCACUGGGAUUACCGCUCUGGCUGCAUUAUUGAUAUGCUGCAAAUAGGACUUUUCAUAUUUCGAGAUAGGAAAAUCUAAAUGGGAUAAUAACCAGAAGUCUGGACCCAGUGGAAUAGGAGCACCCAGGAUCUCCACAGCUAACCGUUUUAUUUCAUCCCAAAAAGAAACAAUCUUAAGGCAAUCCCACCAUAUAUGAAUCAGUGUUCCCUGUUCCUGACCACAUCUCCAGCAUAAAGGAGUCACACAAGGGUAAUACUUCUGAACUAUAGUGGGACAAAGAUACCAUCUAGAAAGGAGUUUAUAUUGGGAUUCCACUAUGUCCAUGAUAGAAGAGCACACACUAGUCACCUGUCCCACAGACCAGCCGGCCAGACAGGCCUCAGACAAGUCAGGAUGAGGCUGGGAUUGCAGGUUCUGCUUCUGGAAGCCGACCUCCUGUAAGGCGCCCAUCACAGGGCUUGGGCCACUUACCCAGGAGGCCAAGUAAGACACGGCGUCUUGGCACGGAAUCUGCGGCUCCAUCAUCCCCACCCAGGCGACGCAUUUCGGCAGUGUCACCCCAGCCACCACUGGCACUAUUGGCGAGUUCGCAGAGUGAUGAGCCCCGAUCACCUCAGUUAUCUGAGCCCAGCUUGAUGGCCGACGUGGACCGGCAGGGACAAGACCAACAGGCAACCAUCACACUGCAACUUACACCUGUUGACCCAAGCCAGCCAAUACAGCUGCAGGAUAUCCCCCAAGCCUCCAUCAGUCCACAACUGGCACAAGCUCCGCCCCCAACCCAAAUACCAGAUGACUUUUGGGCCAGUUGGACAAGCCAACAGGCCCAAAGCAAUGCCAGCCUGACCGCACAUACACAACACCUUGCCAGUCUGCCCCAUCAUCUACCGCGCAUUAGUCGCAACUCGGGCAGACUGAUUGUACAAGUAGGGCGAAUGGCAACCUCAAUGGAGCAAAUAAGGGCUGACAACAGCCAAAUGCUUGCUCAUUUAACGCGCAUCAUAGAUGAGCAACAGCGCCAUCAGCAGGCACUCGUUCAGCUCAUUCAGCACAACCAGGUUGUGAAUGAGUCGUUAUCCCGGAUUGUAGCCAGCCACACUGCAACCAACACUCAACUGAUAGCAAGCAUUAAUAAUUUGAGCAGCAAUAUUACAUUGAUGGGAGCUCACCAAGUAACCUCCAGCUCGGGGACCACGACCCCUAUCCAAACGCCAGUAACCUCCCCUGUUCGGCGUUCCUCCAGAGCACGUGCCAGUGAGCCAGCACAAAGCACAGCACCCAGCACACACAAGCGGAAAAAAUAACCCCAAUGUGAUUUGCUAAAUAAAAAUUUGUAUUUGACAAACACACAA